CAAAAUAAAAUAAAUUGAAUUUAAAUAAAAUAAAUAAAACAAAUAAAGUAAAUAAAUCCAAGGGGAGUCAAAGGAAUUGGGGUGGUGAGAAUAAAAGGGAAUUAGGAUAUAAAUGGCCCAAAACUCUCCACACACCCCAAAUAGAGGCGUGUGAAGAGUAAAUGGAGGAUGUUAUAGGGUCCAAUUGGCCCAAGGUUAGACAACCUUAAUUAAACUUUUAAAAUAAACCAAAAUGAUAUUUACAAAAUAAAUAAAAAUGAAAAAAAAAAAGUAAACCAAAAUUAUAAACAGAAAAAGAAAAGGAAAUACUAAUAAACAAACAUGAACGCAGAGAGAGAAUCAUUAUCAUCUUCUUCUCCAAACAUACAUACACCAUUUUCUUCUUUCAAUUUCCUUCGAAACACAAAACUCCAUGGAGGAUCUAUGAGGUGGAGUGAUUCGUGCUAUCGUCGGUGGAUCUUCCUCUUCACUCUUUUUAUCUAUUUAUGGUGUGUGUUGUUGUUAAGUGGAGGAUGAUUGUUUGGGAUAUGAUGUGAUCAUGUGUGCUUUGCAACUUACGUGCUUUGCAAGAUGUGUGUGUGUAUGUGUGUGUGAGAGAGAUGUUUUUUGUGUCUAUUAUGUGAAAAUUGUACACCUAUUUAUACUAAUUUGCAGGUUAGCAUAAAAGGAAAACAAG
RNAcentral lists this long non-coding RNA (676 nucleotides) under Lathyrus oleraceus (garden pea). Its description in RNAcentral is "Pisum sativum (pea) long non-coding RNA (PSAT_LNC037139)". The record is from RNAcentral. Lineage: Eukaryota; Viridiplantae; Streptophyta; Magnoliopsida; Fabales; Fabaceae.